GUAUAUCCUUUUAUUUAUUGUAUGUACUUUACUGACUCACAGGUGCUGUUAUUGGUGUAAGAGCAAUGCUGUGUAUGUCAUUAAUGUCAGGAUUGAUUGGCUGGGCUGUUGGUAUGGUAGCAUUGAUAGUUCAUAGACCUUGUUUCUUAUUCACAGUUGCACUGGCCUUUGGAAUACAAGCUUUCCUGUGGUUCAUUGGUCUAUUGGUGUACACAAAAGAAUUGAAGUCCAACAAAGGAGCCAGUCAAGGAUGGUCAUACUCUAUAGAAUGGCUUGGGUUCUUCCUUGUUGUCUUUAGUGUCAUUUAUUACGUUUUUGCUGGCUGAAGAAACCUCAAAGUAGUGUCAUCCAACAAAUAUACGCUCCAUUGACACAGUGGGAUGAUGUGUCCAGCAGUGACUCUGAAGAUGAUAGACUUUAGAGAGAGAGAGCACCCAAUGCACACUGUACUGUAACUCACAUUGUUCAGACUCAACUGUCAUAAUAUUUCCCUUUUUAUACUACCUCAAUUCUCUUUUUUGUGUGAAAUGAAUUCCUCUUACAUUAACAUUAACUUUUAUUACUAGAAA
Molecule: long non-coding RNA, 569 nt
Organism: Amphimedon queenslandica
Lineage: Eukaryota; Metazoa; Porifera; Demospongiae; Haplosclerida; Niphatidae
Exons: 2
Source: RefSeq, a predicted model, not a curated record